UACUACGUUACACCAUCGCUGUUAAAGCCACAAUUGUCUUGUUGCGCCCAAUUACUGCGCAAACCUACCUUUUGGGGGGAAUUUCUGCACCCUGCCGUACGGCUGCCGUACCAGCGAUGAUGAUUUUCUGCAACGGGUACAACGGAAGGACCCGCUGUACCAGCGGCGUUUGCCGACCCCUGGUGUGGACUGUACACUUAUGGCUGCUUGCAAAACAAAUUGCGGGUGCGAGGCGAAGUGCACUCUUGCGUACGGCUUGCACCUUGCAAAGUCGCAGGUCGCGAGAAAUCGCCCAUCUUUACAUGCGAGCGCAUACGUGAUUUCGUUUUCCGCACUUGUCAUAUCCGACACGUAAGUGUAAAUGCAUUGGAGUGGCAUGCGGCAUAUAUGGCUUCGUCUGCGUCAGGAACGCCUGGCCCAUGGCCACACACAAAAGGAAAUGCCGAAUCUUCUUUUCGGCCUAGUAUAGAAAUGCCUUCGCCUGUCAAGGAGAGGUCUCAGUGGUAUCCUUGUUGUCGCCCGCUCCUGCUUCACUGUAGGCUUCUUCUCAAGCACGCACGCUGGGCCCUAUGCCCAACGGUGUCGCGAUAUAGUUGACAAUAAUCAGUCAGCUCUCGAGUGGUAAAUCUGUGUAC
This 635-nucleotide long non-coding RNA is filed under the name Volvox carteri. RNAcentral's name for it is "long non-coding RNA (VCAR_LNC004081)". Lineage: Eukaryota; Viridiplantae; Chlorophyta; Chlorophyceae; Chlamydomonadales; Volvocaceae. The record is from RNAcentral.